Molecule: ribosomal RNA, 427 nt
Filed under: uncultured bacterium
Lineage: Bacteria
Description: bacterial SSU rRNA
Rfam family: Bacterial small subunit ribosomal RNA
Source: RNAcentral
UAAAGCGAGCGCAGACGGUUACUUAAGCAGGAUGUGAAAUCCCCGGGCUCAACCUGGGAACUGCGUUCUGAACUGGGUGACUAGAGUGUGUCAGAGGGAGGUAGAAUUCCACGUGUAGCAGUGAAAUGCGUAGAGAUGUGGAGGAAUACCGAUGGCGAAGGCAGCCUCCUGGGAUAACACUGACGUUCAUGCUCGAAAGCGUGGGUAGCAAACAGGAUUAGAUACCCUGGUAGUCCACGCCCUAAACGAUGUCAAUUAGCUGUUGGGCAACUUGAUUGCUUAGUAGCGUAGCUAACGCGUGAAAUUGACCGCCUGGGGAGUACGGUCGCAAGAUUAAAACUCAAAGGAAUUGACGGGGACCCGCACAAGCGGUGGAUGAUGUGGAUUAAUUCGAUGCAACGCGAAGAACCUUACCUGGUCUUGACAU